CUGCUGCCUCCCGUAGGAGUUUGGGCCGUGUCUCAGUCCCAAUGUGGCCGUCCACCCUCUCAGGCCGGCUACUGAUCGUCGCUUUGGUAGGCCGUUACCCUGCCAACUGGCUAAUCAGACGCGGGUCCAUCGCAUACCACCUCGGUUUUUCACACUGGACCAUGCGGUCCCGUGCGCUUAUGCGGUAUUAGCACCUGUUUCCAGGUGUUAUCCCCCGGUAUACGGCAGGUUACCCACGCGUUACUCACCCGUCCGCCACUAACUUAA
RNAcentral lists this ribosomal RNA (267 nucleotides) under uncultured bacterium. RNAcentral describes it as "partial 16S ribosomal RNA". The record is from RNAcentral.